RNAcentral lists this ribosomal RNA (511 nucleotides) under uncultured Bacillota bacterium. Its description in RNAcentral is "bacterial SSU rRNA". It matches the Rfam family "Bacterial small subunit ribosomal RNA", at positions 355 to 857 of the family's 1533-position model. Lineage: Bacteria; Bacillati; Bacillota. The record is from RNAcentral.
UAGGGAAUCUUCGGCAAUGGGCGAAAGCCUGACCGAGCAACGCCGCGUGAGCGAUGAAGGCUUUCGGGUCGUAAAGCUCUGUUGUUAAGGAAGAACAAGUACGAGAGUAACUGCUCGUACCUUGACGGUACUUAACGAGAAAGCCACGGCUAACUACGUGCCAGCAGCCGCGGUAAUACGUAGGUGGCGAGCGUUAUCCGGAAUUAUUGGGCGUAAAGCGCGCGCAGGCGGUUUCUUAAGUCUGAUGUGAAAGCCCACGGCUCAACCGUGGAGGGUCAUUGGAAACUGGGGAACUUGAGUGCAGAAGAGGAAAGCGGAAUUCCACGUGUAGCGGUGAAAUGCGUAGAGAUGUGGAGGAACACCAGUGGCGAAGGCGGCUUUCUGGUCUGUAACUGACGCUGAGGCGCGAAAGCGUGGGGAGCAAACAGGAUUAGAUACCCUGGUAGUCCACGCCGUAAACGAUGAGUGCUAAGUGUUAGAGGGUUUCCGCCCUUUAGUGCUGAAGUUAACG